RNAcentral lists this ribosomal RNA (474 nucleotides) under uncultured soil bacterium. RNAcentral describes it as "bacterial SSU rRNA". It matches the Rfam family "Bacterial small subunit ribosomal RNA", at positions 26 to 518 of the family's 1533-position model. The record is from RNAcentral.
AGCCUGAACGCUGGCGGCGUGGCUAAGACAUGCAAGUCGUACGGGGCCGUAGCAAUACGGUCCAGUGGCGGACGGGUGAGUAAUGAAUCGCUAAUGUACCCCCGGACUCUGGGAUAGCCGGCCGAAAGGCCGGGUAAUACCAGAUGAUGUGGCGACAGGGCAUCCUGUUGACCCCAAAGGGAAACCGUCUGGGUGCAGGCGAUUUCGUAUCAGGUAGUUGGUGCGGGUAACGGCCCACCAAGCCGACGACGCGUAGCUGGUCUGAGAGACGGCCAGCCACAUUGGGACUGAGACACUGCCCAGACUCCUACGGGGGGCUGCAGUAACGAAUCUUCCGCAAUGCACGCAAGUGUGACGGAGCGACGCCGCGUGGAGGUUAAGUCCUUCGGAGUGUAAACUACCUGUCAGGGUUACCAAGAUCUGAGGAGCCCAGAGGAAGGACGACGGACGAACUCUAGUGCCACGCGACGCCGC